AACGAACGCUGGCGGUAUGCUUAACACAUGCAAGUCGAACGAACAAGAGCCUUAGCUUGCUAAGGAGUUCUGUUAGUGGCAAACGGGUGAGUAACACGUGGGAACCUACCUAGUAGCUUGGGAUAACAGUUGGAAACGACUGCUAAUACCGAAUACGCUCUAUGUGAGGAAAGAUUUAUCACUAUUAGAUGGGCCCGCGCUAGAUUAGAUAGUUGGUGGGGUAAUGGCCUACCAAUCUGCAAUCUAUAACUGGUCUGAGAGGACGAUCAGUCACACUGGAACUGAGACACGGUCCAG
This 297-nucleotide ribosomal RNA is filed under the name uncultured bacterium. Its description in RNAcentral is "partial 16S ribosomal RNA". It matches the Rfam family "Bacterial small subunit ribosomal RNA", at positions 29 to 334 of the family's 1533-position model. The record is from RNAcentral.